GCGCAUCUAUUUCCGGUACUCCAAGCUACAUGCAGGCGCGCGAGCCUUCUUUGGAUUGCGAAAAAGCGAUCUCACUCAACUCGAAGGUCAGAACGGUUUCAUUUGCCUUCUGGUCGACGAUGAUUCGCCGCCCGUCUUCAUUCCCUAUGCCGAUUUUGAAGAACUAUUGCGUUUUGCACAGCCGGCUUCUGACGGCCAAUACAAAGUACAGCUCUUCUCUGCGUCGAAUGCGCGCGAACUUUACAUCGCACGGCAGGGGCGAUUCAACGUAGAGGGGUAUGUGGGAUAUGAGCCGAUCUCGCGCAGCUUGAUCGCUCAAAAGCUCCGGCCG
RNAcentral lists this unclassified non-coding RNA (331 nucleotides) under uncultured fungus. Its description in RNAcentral is "sequence contains ITS1". Lineage: Eukaryota; Fungi. The record is from RNAcentral.